Molecule: non-coding RNA, 2306 nt
Organism: Leucoraja erinaceus (little skate)
Lineage: Eukaryota; Metazoa; Chordata; Chondrichthyes; Rajiformes; Rajidae
Source: the annotation of a RefSeq genome assembly
GUGGUAGCGCAGUUUGUGAGCGGCGGUGAAUCACCGUGUAUGACUACUGGGGUGCAGGAACCUCGCUGACAGUGACUUCAGAGGAUGAGGCCUUGCCUUCAGUCCAUAUGACCUCUUCCUGCAACACAGAAUCUGAGCAAGAGAUCAGCAUCCUCUGUCUGGUCAAAGACUACCAGCCUGAGAUCAUCAGUCAGACAUGGUCCACCAGCAGUGGGGACAUCACCACUGGAAUCACAAAGUACCCACCAGUGUUGGGACAAAACAACAAGUACACAAUGAGCAGCUUGCUGCGAGUCCCUGUGGCAGCUUGGAACAGGAAAACCGUCUACUACUGCAAGGCAGGAUACAAGCCGGCCAACAUGGUGAAAACGGAGAUCCAGAAGCCUCAAGCUCCACAGCUCAUCCCCCUUGUUCCAUCCGCGGAGGUUCUCCACAAUCAAACAACUGCUGCCCUGGGCUGCAUGAUAUCCGGAUUCUUUCCUAACAAUGUUAAAGUUUCCUGGAAAAAAUCUGGACUUAAUCAAGCGGGCGUCGUUCUCCCGUCCACUCCGGGAACUAACGGUAGAUUUGAAACAGUUGCUUACCUGCGGUUGCGUGUGGAGGAAUGGACCAACAAACAGGAAUAUACUUGUGAAGUGACUCAUGCACCUUCCGGCUUCAGCGACAGGAUCAACAUGAGAUAUCAAGAGGAAUUGUCCGUCUUCAUUCAAAAUCCUGGCAUGAAAGAGAUUUGGAUCAACAAGACUGCUACGCUGGUGUGUUCAGUGAUCUGUAGUGAUCUGAGCCAGGUCCAUCUCACCUGGAAGGUGGGAGGAAAGGAGAGAAGUGAAGGAGUUGUGACCCGUACACCGAGCCAUGAAGGCACCCGAAACGCAAUGAUCAGUGAACUCCGGACCAGCGUGGAGGAGUGGACCAGCGGGGUGGAGUUUGUGUGCUUCGCCCAACGAUCUCCAUCAUCCUCACCAGUGUCAGCGCGGACCAACCAUAACAAAGUUGAGCCAAAAAAACCUGAAGUCAGACUGCUGCUUCCAGCACACGCAGAGACCAAGCCUAGCCACAAGGUCACCCUCGAGUGUGUGGUCUCUGGAUUCUACCCAGACCUCAUCAACGUCACUUGGAGUAAAGACGGUGCCCUGAUCUCCAACAACACCAGCGUUGCACCAACUGCUCUGGAGCAGGGGGGCACUUUCAGUGCCAGCCACUUCCUGACCAUGAACACAGAGGAUUGGAAGUCAGGCUCACACUUCAAUUGUACAGUGCAUCAUGGCGCCUCCAACACCAUCAUCACGAAGGAUGUGAAGAACAUCCAAGAUGAAUGUUCAGAUACCCGCCCCUCGGUCACUUUAAGCAAACCUUCCUUCGAAGAGAUCUGGAUCAACAAGACAGCCACCAUUCAGUGUAAGGUGGUUCACGGUGAUUUAGAGGGAUUCAGGGUAACCUGGCAAGUGAAUGGAAUGAAGAGAGAAGACGGGGUGACAACUCGUGGUGUAGAGAGGACCGGAGGUACAGACACCAUCACCAGCGGACUGACGGUCCCCGCUGCAGAGUGGGAGAGUGGGGCUCUGUACACCUGUGUGGUGGAGGACAAGAGUUUGCCAACACCGGAGAGGAGAUCCUUGGAGAAGCCGACAGAUGGAGUUGAGAGACAUCCUCAAGUCUACCUCCUCCCCCCUUCAUUGGAUGAGGUGGAGACGGAUAAGACAGCCACCUUGACGUGCCUGGUCACCAGAUUCUCUCCUGCAGACAUCUAUGUGGCCUGGAUGGCCAACGACACCCUUCUGAAGACAGGGAUUGUGAACCAGCCCGUGACCGAGGACACCAGGAAUGGGUGGAACACCAUGACCAGUCAGUUGAAGGUUUCUCCAGAGGAGUGGAACAGUGGCACCACCUUCUCCUGUGUUGUGGGACACAGCUCCAUCACAACCAGUCUAUUCAGAAGCAUCAAUAAAUCUCACAGCAAACCCACCCUGGUCAAUGUCUCACUUGUUCUGACUGAUAGCUUUAAAUCUUGUGUGUAACAUGAUUAAUUUCUCAAACAUUUGUUUUGUUCAUUUCUGGAUUUAUUAACUGACCCAGAGGAUGAUGGGUUAGCUCCUUUGUAAAUCAUUAAAAACAAAAUUCCACACGAGAUACAAAUUAAGCCACAACCAUGAUUCACCACAAAUGUCUGAGCUUCUGGAUACAUUUACAGAACAUUUACUGCCAUGUUUGAUCAGAUUUCAACCCUGUAUGAGAUCACACGAGGUAUUAAAUCUAUGUAUGUGUCAAUGUACCAAUACAAGUUCAAUAAAUAUGAUGUGAAACAG